UACGUAGGGGGCAAGCGUUGUCCGGAAUCAUUGGGCGUAAAGAGCGUGUAGGCGGCCAGGUAGGUCUGGUGUGAAAACUCGAGGCUUAACCUCGAGAUGUCAUCGGAAACCAUCUGGCUAGAGUCCGGAAGAGGAGAGUGGAAUUCCUGGUGUAGCGGUGAAAUGCGCAGAUAUCAGGAAGAACACCAAUGGCGAAAGCAGCUCUCUGGGACGGUACUGACGCUGAGACGCGAAAGCGUGGGGAGCGAACAGG
Molecule: ribosomal RNA, 253 nt
Filed under: uncultured bacterium
Lineage: Bacteria
Description: partial 16S ribosomal RNA
Rfam family: Bacterial small subunit ribosomal RNA
Source: RNAcentral